This 1709-nucleotide long non-coding RNA is filed under the name Homo sapiens (human). RNAcentral describes it as "non-protein coding BAALC-AS1:3". Lineage: Eukaryota; Metazoa; Chordata; Mammalia; Primates; Hominidae. The record is from RNAcentral.
CGGCGGCGGGACUGGCCCUGCGCCCGGGCACCGCCUGCGCUGCGCCGCCCGGCCUCACUCCGCGGCCCGCCAGGACCCGGCCCCGGUGAACGGGCUCGGGGUGCCGAGGUCCGGCUGCGGGGCCGGGAAGCCACCUCCACCUUGCCGUCUGUUACGACCCCCGAGGCGCAAGGCUGAGCCCCAUCUCGCUAUCCGGGUCCGGAGGGGUUCACCUUAGAAGGAUUUUUUGAAGCUCUUGGCGCUGGCUCUAAAAGAACCCACUUCCUUGCGGAUUUCAGGAGUCAAGAAUCCUUAAACGGAGCCAAUUUGCUUUGUAAAGCCAAUUGCCCAAGUGACUUGAGUUCGAAAGGAGAUACUUCCUGGACAACUGCUAUAAAAACAACAACAAAUACUUUUAUUAAUUCGGGGAGCCUGGUCACCAACUGGAUGCUCAGGGGAGAUGGAACCCUGAGCAGCCCAUGUACAUGGAAGAUCUUUAUUGCAGAGAUCUUCAAACCAGGAAACUGAGGCUAAAGAGUUUAGUAUUCUGCCAAGGCCAGCUAAUAGUUACAGAGCAUGGUUCCAAAUUCAGAGCUGUCGGAAGCUUAAGCCCAUGUGAUGAACCACGAAUGUGAUUUUACCUCAUUUAAGCCUUGCAGCAAACUCUGCCAACUAGUGUGCAUUUACUCCUGCCUCUCCAUGCCUGAAGGAAGGAAUGAAGAGGUCUCUGCUGUCCAUCUGAGCCAGUGACUGGGCUGUCUCUACCAGGCCAGAAUUUGGGGCAGGCAAGAUUUUCAGCAUCCCUAAAAUCACACUAAGAAGAUAAACAUGGAAACAGCUUGGAGCUGCCCUACCCAUAGUGAGGUGGUACUGACUGGAAGACAGCUUAAACGAUUUGGAGAAAAGUGGAAUACAUUAAUCUCAGAAAACUCUACCACCUGUAGAAAGAGAGCUAAAAUGGAGACAACCACAGGCAGUCUAAGAUACGCUGAACUACUACAGAAAAUAAUGCAGCAUGAAGGAAUGCUGGAAGGUAUGGGGUCAGAGCAAGCUGAUGGAGGGUCCUUCAUUUCCAAGCCACGAGUACAGCAGGAUGUAAGGCUUAGUUCAUAAGAACAUCUCCUGAAAGACAAUCUCUAUAAAAACUGUUUCAAUAGAAAGAAUGCAAGAUGUAACUGUUUAAUAAUAGGACUGAUAUUUUAAAAAACAAAUGAACGUAAUAGAAGACUAGAUGGAUGUGCUUCUCAAAGUCCUCUCUGUGGGAGGCUUCAUCCUCACUCUAGAUGUGUUGCCUGUAGCAGCUGUUAUUGAUUACCCGCCCAUAGCCUAUCCAUACUUACUCAUCAUUCCUUUACCUACCAGUGGCAUCCUAUUGGAAGCACCUGCGACUUUCUUAGGGCUUUCUCUUGGCCAAGCAUUGGAAGGCCAGCAGUAUUGAAAAGUUAAUAGUCUUGGAAGCACUGGCCCUCAACUAAUGACAAAGAAAAAAUAUAAGAUAAAUUCCCCAGCUUCCUUGCCUCCUGAAUGGGUCAAGUCUGUGGUGUGUUCUACCCGUUUUUCAGAGGUCCCAUGUUUUAAACCCUAGCUGCUCAAGGCAAUUUCCUGAUCAUUGAUGUACUCUCUAUUGGCUAAUUUUUAGAUAAUAUGGAAUAUGCUCAAAAUAGGAUACUCAAAGAAAAAAUCAGAUGCCAAAAUUAUGUACACCGAAUGAGUUCAAUUCUGUAUAAGUG